This 1566-nucleotide non-coding RNA is filed under the name Pongo abelii (Sumatran orangutan). The record is from RNAcentral. Lineage: Eukaryota; Metazoa; Chordata; Mammalia; Primates; Hominidae.
AAAUGCCAUCCCAAUUCCCCUGAUGUUAAAAGAAACAUACAGUCUAUUCACUGGUUUUGCAAAAAACACUAACCUACAAACCCUUCUGGGCCAACAAGCUUGAGUGCGAUCCGGUCUGCAAUGAUGGAGGAAUUGCCAUGUGCGAUGUUGGCAAACGGGCCAGCAUGGACAAACACUGGAGUGCCCUGUGGAAACCAGGACACCGUGAGCUGAGCUGCCAAUCCUGCUUCAGAGUGGGAUCACACACUCAACGGUAUGGAAUUGGUUUAGAAUCGGAAGGAAGAAUACUUCCCAGAGGGAAAAUACAAAGUCAUCUCUUUUAUUUCAGUAACGUCCCAGUCACAGGUGUGAGGAAGAAUGAGAAGAAAGAGAUGAGCAAGUGGAGAAGGUCUUGACUACCCAGGUUAAGUGUGCUUUAUAACCACUCUGCUCUGACUGUCCAAAACCAAUUCAAGAAGGCAGGAGUCACUCUGCUCACCUCCAGUGUCUGCAUGAGAUUGGGCUUGAUUGCGUCCUUCAUAAGCACUGUCAGUGCACCACUCACCCCCUACAAAACAAAUGUGUGCAGCAUCAACUCCCACCAGCAAAAUAAACCAACCUUCUGAAACCAAUAUUUGACAUUCUAGGCUUACCCAUGUUAGCCAUCUUGGACCAGUUGAUACUUUCACCUGAAUUGGACCAUUCAUGGUUUUUUUCUAGAUAUGCUAUGAAGUUGCCAAUUAUUUAUUUAUUUUUUUUUUGAGACGGAGUCUCGCUCUGUUGCCCAGGCUGGAGUGCAGUGGUGCAAUCUCAGCUCACUGCAAGCUCCACCUCCCGGGUUCACGCCAUUCUCCUGCCUCAGCCUCCCGAGUAGCUGGGACUACGGGCACCCGCCACUAUGCCUGGCUAAUUUUUUUGUAUUUUUAGUAGAGACAGGGUUUCACUGUGUUAGCCAGGAUGGUCUCAAUCUCCUGACCUCGUGAUCCACCUGCCUCGGCCUCCCAAAGUGCUGGGAUUACAGGCGUGAGCCACCGCGCCUGGCCAAAGUUGCCAGAUAGAAUAAAAAUGACAUUCACAUGUAAUAUCUGGAAAAACAUGUAACUCUGGAAACAAGCAUCUUAAUCAAGCUCUGCUGCUGACUGAUGUGAGAAAUCCAUUCGAGACUAGUUUAGAGCACGGCAAUGCUCGUUCCCAGAGUACUCAGUUAUUUGUAACUCUGGUAUCUGGGCAGAAAUUAUUUCUAUAAAUACCAAACUCAAUAUGUGUCUUCCAAAGCUGAAACUGCAAUAUUAUGCAAGAGUUCAAUACCAACUUUUAACAUCAGGUCACUUUAUUAAGCCAUCAAAGUGUAGCUGAACUAACUAGCAACAAAGAUAAAGCAAUGGUACUCUUGAUGUUCCCUGCAAAUUGAAGUCAUACACUCACUUUUAGAGAUGCCCACAGGAUGAAGAUGUUACUCAAAUCAUCUGGAACUUGUGAUCUAUUACUAAAGCAUACCAGCCAUUAUUCACUCUGAUGUACUUUUUAAACAUUUCAUAAUUAUCUUGUAAUUAGCAAAAUAGGAUUAAAUUGAUGAAUUAAUUGCAG